GGCAGUUAAAAAUUAGAGACCAACUUUGUUUGGAAAGUCAAACAACUGAGCAGGUACUAUUUGGUUAGUGACAACAGAUAGAUUAAACUUAAAGAGCAUACAUUCUUCGACAGAGAUUCCAAAGGGAUGAAGAUAAGAGUUAGUGUGAGGUAACUCAAGUGUAGAUGGAUGUAACUGAAGAGCAUUGACAAGAAAUAGUUCAUCUAUGACAUAAGUUUGGCCUUGAAUACAGGUAGUGAUAGUCUUUAGUAUGCCAGAAGAAUCAUGUAGGAAGUCCAUGUGAGAAUAAAAUUCGGCCAUAAGGCCUGGAAAAACAGACUUCUCAGUAAAAGAUAUCAAAAAAUC
This 345-nucleotide long non-coding RNA is filed under the name Panax ginseng (ginseng). RNAcentral describes it as "long non-coding RNA (PGIN_LNC006347)". The record is from RNAcentral. Lineage: Eukaryota; Viridiplantae; Streptophyta; Magnoliopsida; Apiales; Araliaceae.